GGCUUCUAGAGAGCUUUGUACGUGGGCAGUCCUGAUUUGCAAUUAAGUGGAAUUUUUCAAAGCAGUCUCUGUGUCCCCUUAAAGAUCUUGUAUGUAGAAGAUCUGACUUUGGUACUCCUUCGAUGUUCAGCUCGAAGCAGAUGUGGCAGAACGAGAGCGUCUCCUUCUCUGUGCCGAGCUUGCAGACGCUGCACACGUUGUCAUCGUCCAGGUCGAUGUUGACAAACUGCUCCUCGUUCAUCGUGC
This 246-nucleotide long non-coding RNA is filed under the name Gallus gallus (chicken). Lineage: Eukaryota; Metazoa; Chordata; Aves; Galliformes; Phasianidae. The record is from RNAcentral.